CCCUUAGAUGUUCUGGGCUGCACGCGUGCUACACUGAUAUUGCCAAUAUGUCAUUCUUAUCCGAAAUGGAUUGGGUAAUCAAGUAAUGAAAUUUCAUGCUUGGAAUCGGUAAUUGCAAUUUUAUCGUGAACGAGGAAUUCCUAGUAAGCACUAGUCAUCAGCUAAUGUUGAUUAUGUCCCUGCCCUUUGUACACACCGCCCGUCGCUACUACUGAUUGGGUGUUCAAGUGAGAUGCUUAGACCCUUGUUGCAUGGUUCAUUAUUGUGCUCCGAAAGGAAAAAGUCUCAAGCUUGAGUGUCUAGAGGAAGUAAAAGUCGUAACA
RNAcentral lists this ribosomal RNA (323 nucleotides) under uncultured eukaryote. Its description in RNAcentral is "partial 18S ribosomal RNA". It matches the Rfam family "Eukaryotic small subunit ribosomal RNA", at positions 1470 to 1796 of the family's 1831-position model. The record is from RNAcentral.